RNAcentral lists this ribosomal RNA (434 nucleotides) under uncultured Clostridium sp. Its description in RNAcentral is "partial 16S ribosomal RNA". It matches the Rfam family "Bacterial small subunit ribosomal RNA", at positions 341 to 792 of the family's 1533-position model. Lineage: Bacteria; Bacillati; Bacillota; Clostridia; Eubacteriales; Clostridiaceae. The record is from RNAcentral.
ACGGGAGGCAGCAGUGGGGAAUAUUGCACAAUGGGGGAAACCCUGAUGCAGCGACGCCGCGUGAGUGAAGAAGUAUUUCGGUAUGUAAAGCUCUAUCAGCAGGGAAGAAAAUGACGGUACUUGACUAAGAAGCCCCGGCUAACUACGUGCCAGCAGCCGCGGUAACACGUAGGGGGCAAGCGUUAUCCGGAUUUACUGGGUGUAAAGGGAGCGUAGACGGCAAAGCAAGUCUGAAGUGAAAUCCCGGGGCUCAACCCUGGAACUGCUUUGGAAACUGUUUAGCUAGAGUGCAGGAGAGGUAAGUGGAAUUCCUAGUGUAGCGGUGAAAUGCGUAGAUAUUAGGAGGAACACCAGUGGCGAAGGCGGCUUACUGGACUGUAACUGACGUUGAGGCUCGAAAGCGUGGGGAGCAAACAGGAUUAGAUACCCUGGUA